This 342-nucleotide unclassified non-coding RNA is filed under the name soil metagenome. RNAcentral describes it as "partial contains 5.8S ribosomal RNA, internal transcribed spacer 2, and large subunit ribosomal RNA". The stretch from base 1 to 120 matches the Rfam family "5.8S ribosomal RNA", at positions 35 to 154 of the family's 154-position model. The record is from RNAcentral.
GAUGAAGAACGCAGCUAAAUGCGAUAAGUAAUGUGAAUUGCAGAAUUCAGUGAAUCAUCGAAUCUUUGAACGCACAUUGCGCCCGCCAGCACUCUGGCGGGCAUGCCUGUUCGAGCGUCAUUUCAACCAUCAAGCCCCCAGGGGCUUGUGCUGGGGCCCUGCGGCUGCCCGCAGGCCCUGAAAACCAGUGGCGGGCUCGCUAGUCACACCGAGCGCAGUAGCACAUCUCGCUCAGGGCGUGCGGCGGGCUCCUGCCGUGAAACCCCCCACUGUAACCCCAAAGGUUGACCUCGGAUCAGGUAGGAAUACCCGCUGAACUUAAGCAUAUCAAUAAGCGGAGGA